This 466-nucleotide ribosomal RNA is filed under the name uncultured bacterium. RNAcentral describes it as "bacterial SSU rRNA". It matches the Rfam family "Bacterial small subunit ribosomal RNA", at positions 329 to 792 of the family's 1533-position model. The record is from RNAcentral.
UUCCAGACUCCUACGGGAGGCAGCAGUGAGGAAUAUUGGUCAAUGGGCGGAAGCCUGAAUCAGCCAAGUCGCGUGAGGGAAUAAGGCCCUACGGGUCGUAAACCUCUUUUGCCGGGGAGCAAGGGCGGGGACGUGUCCCGGCCCGGAGAGUACCCGGAGAAAAAGCAUCGGCUAACUCCGUGCCAGCAGCCGCGGUAAUACGGAGGAUGCGAGCGUUAUCCGGAUUUAUUGGGUUUAAAGGGUGCGUAGGCGGAACAUUAAGUCAGCGGUAAAAUCGAGGGGCUCAACCCCUUUAAGCCGUUGAAACUGGUGAUCUUGAGUGGGCGAGAAGUAUGCGGAAUGCGUGGUGUAGCGGUGAAAUGCAUAGAUAUCACGCAGAACUCCGAUUGCGAAGGCAGCAUACCGGCGCCCGACUGACGCUGAGGCACGAAAGCGUGGGGAUCGAACAGGAUUAGAUACCCUUGUA